UGAACCAUUGAUUUGUUUGUAGCUUCUGUAUAUGGAAUUAUGUUUUAAAAACAUAUGUCUUAAAAAAUGUCUUAAAGACAUUUUGUUUGCCUAACUCUUCCUUUCUGAAGGUGCCACUGAAAAAUUUGGCUUUCCUGAUGGGACUGUCAAAUCAUAUUCCUCCUCUUGCUUAUGGGAGAGGGCACAUUGACCCAGGCUAACCAGUUAUAAUGCCUCAUUCCUUUGUCCGUGUUGUUCAGUACAGACACAGGAACAUAACACAAACAGAGCCAAACAGAAUCCAAGCAAGGAUUUUUUCUGGAGCUCUAAGAAAAGAGAUGCUCUCUUUUCACUAGAGUAACUGGCCGUAGACCUGUGUGAGCAUAUCGCUUUCGAGACCAUCUUUGUCAGCAAAUGAAGAGGCUACUUGAGAAUGAAACCAACACAGAAAUAAGUUUCCUGAGAAUCUUGUUUGAGUCUCUGCACCCAUCUAUGCCUAAAGUGAGUUGCAUUCACAGACUGCUCUAUUAAAUGAGCCAAUAAAUUUCCUUUUUGUAUUUAUGUGUGUUUGAUUUGGAUCUUUCACACUUGGAACCAAAAGAGGUCUGACUGCUACUAAUUCACUUUUCCUGUUUCAAUUGACAGAGUCUGAGAGUCAAAUUUGCAACCCACAAGUGGACAGGAUCAUAUUGAAUGAAUGUUAAGAAAUGAGCUUAUCGGUGCAGCGGAAACAAAUCCGACUAGGAACCAUGAGAAUGGAUUCCUGCUGAGUGCCACCCAGCAGAAAUUACAACCCAUGGGAGGUCAGACAGCCAAAAUCCCACCUCACUGACACCAGAGGGGAAGAAUCAUUUGAUAAAUGCGAAUCUGAAAAACCACCUCGCUGGGAAGAGCCAAAAAAACUCAAUCACCAUCUGCGGGACUCACCAGAAGAGCCAGGAGAGGUGAGUCUCGGACCUAUGGGAUCUAGGAUUAAAUGGGGUUCCUCUUCAGGCUGCAUGCUUCUCUGAGAGCUGACGGUAGGACUUGGGUGGGAAAACCUUGGUAAAUCUCUCCGGGUUAUAUACCCUCAUCGCUGCUUCCUGAUUGCUAUUUUCUUGGGAGAUCUCAUUGAGCCCUGCUGCCUCCCUUUGCUGUUCAGGAGGAUGCUUGGGCUUGUCUUCCUCUCAGUGAGGGUGCCGUUGCAUGGGAGGGGUGUAUCUUAGCUCUUGUGUCGCUGUCUUAGCUCCCUGUAAGUGAAAGCUUCGAACGCCUCAGUGUUUCCGCUCCUCUCUCCUAAACUGCCUCCCAUUUUAUCAUAUGAUCCUCAGUACUUGGUAAGACCUUGUGGCAAAGAGUCAGUGAUAGUGUAGUCUGACUUGUUUCUGGAGUUCCUCUAGAUUAAUCUCUGCUUCCAGCUCCGCACAUUGCCUGGAAAAGUUUGUUAGAA
This 1408-nucleotide long non-coding RNA is filed under the name Sus scrofa (pig). RNAcentral describes it as "lncRNA (ENSSSCG00030068473.1)". The record is from RNAcentral. Lineage: Eukaryota; Metazoa; Chordata; Mammalia; Artiodactyla; Suidae.